Molecule: ribosomal RNA, 505 nt
Filed under: uncultured bacterium
Lineage: Bacteria
Description: partial 16S ribosomal RNA
Rfam family: Bacterial small subunit ribosomal RNA
Source: RNAcentral
GACGAACGCUGGCGGCGUGCCUAAUACAUGCAAGUAGAACGCACAGUUUAUACCGUAGCUUGCUACACCAUAGACUGUGAGUUGCGAACGGGUGAGUAACGCGUAGGUAACCUGCCUGGUAGCGGGGGAUAACUAUUGGAAACGAUAGCUAAUACCGCAUAAUAUUAAUUAUUGCAUGAUAAUUAAUUGAAAGGUGCAAUUGCACCACUACCAGAUGGACCUGCGUUGUAUUAGCUAGUAGGUGAGGUAACGGCUCACCUAGGCGACGAUACAUAGCCGACCCGAGAGGGUGAUCGGCCACACUGGGACUGAGACACGGCCCAGACUCCUACGGGAGGCAGCAGUAGGGAAUCUUCGGCAAUGGACGAAAGUCUGACCGAGCAACGCCGCGUGAGUGAAGAAGGUUUUCGGAUCGUAAAGCUCUGUUGUAAGAGAAGAAAGGGUGUGAGAGUGGAAAGUUCACACUGUGACGGUAUCUUACCAGAAAGGGACGGCUAACUACGUG